UACGUAGGGUGCAAGCGUUGUCCGGAAUUAUUGGGCGUAAAGAGCUCGUAGGCGGUCUGUCGCGUCGGAUGUGAAAACUCGGGGCUCAACCCCGGGCCUGCAUUCGAUACGGGCAGACUAGAGUACGGCAGGGGAGACUGGAAUUCCUGGUGUAGCGGUGAAAUGCGUAGAUAUCAGGAGGAAUACCGGUGUGGUAGACGGCUCUCUGGACCGCCACUGACGCUGAGACACGAAAGCGUGGGUAGCAAACAGG
Molecule: ribosomal RNA, 253 nt
Filed under: uncultured bacterium
Lineage: Bacteria
Description: partial 16S ribosomal RNA
Rfam family: Bacterial small subunit ribosomal RNA
Source: RNAcentral